This 470-nucleotide long non-coding RNA is filed under the name Manduca sexta (tobacco hornworm). Its description in RNAcentral is "uncharacterized LOC115444931". Lineage: Eukaryota; Metazoa; Arthropoda; Insecta; Lepidoptera; Sphingidae. The record is from RNAcentral.
AUACAGCAAAGGCAGUAUCUCUGAACAUAUCGUUCUGUACAUUUGUUUUAUUUACAUACUCUUCUAGAAAGUGAAUAUAAUGCAACGCCCACCAGGUUACAACCCAGGUUAUCCCGGAGGUAUGCCGAUGCCAAACCAAGGCAUGCCGGGUCAAGCUCCUCCCAAUUACUAUGGCGCUCCAAUGCCCGGAGCACCCAGACCUGGUUAUGGCCCCCCUGGGCAAAUGCAACCUCAGGGCCAACAGCAGAACUGCUUCAUGCCUGCAGCAACCAUCCGCAAACUAAGUAACACCACGCCGCCCCGUUUCGACCAAGGUUUUAAAUGAAAAACUGUUGAAAUAGAAUCUCUUCUACCUCUUUGUAUGUUCUGAUGUGUUAUUUUUCUGGUGUGUUAUUACUUAAAUUAGAGUGUAUAAUAUUUAGUUUAAUUUCUUAGAUUUAAGUUGUUGUUAAUAAAAUUCUGUCAAUAUA